Long non-coding RNA from Heterocephalus glaber (naked mole-rat), 6339 nucleotides. RefSeq lists it as uncharacterized. NCBI's taxonomy places the organism in Eukaryota, Metazoa, Chordata, Mammalia, Rodentia, Bathyergidae. The record is from RefSeq and is a predicted model, not a curated record.
UUCAAGAAAAUAUUUGAAAAUAAAUUAUAUUGCCUUUUGCCCAUGAAUCAGCAAAUAAAAUAUGGCCUAAAGAGAAAGAAAAUAGACAAUUAUGAGAAAAUUCAGAUAUUUAUUUAACAUUUGUACUAUUUGUUUGGAGGUUAUAAUUCAACUGAGUCAGACUGAGAAACAAGAAAGAUAAAGCAAACACUGAAAUACAUUGUAUUUUUUAAACCUGUAAUUUAUAUUUGUGUUUUAGUUCUGCUUCCCACUGAUUUACAUUGUAUCAGAAAUUCAAGUUAUCUUGAAAAUUAUAGCUCUGAUUGCAAAAGUCAUGUAUGCUCAAUUGAGAAACUUAAAAUAGAUGUAUUCCAUUGAGAUUUUUUUUUUCCAGUACUGGGGAUCCAACUCAGGACCUUGUGCUUGUGAGGCAGGUAGCCCUGGCUGGCCUCAAACUCACAGCAAUCUUCCUGCCUCAGCCUCCCUAGUGUGUGUGCCACACCCAGUUCCUUUGAGAUUUAACAGCAAGUGAUCAGGCUGUGUGAGAAGUCGGUUUCUUGAAUUGCCACCAGAGGGCGAUCAACCCAAACUUUGCUUGAAUAUGAAGAGUAACCAUAUGUUGUAGUAGAAAUAAGGCAAGAGUAAACUACAGAUUUUCACACUUUCACAUAUUAAGAAAAGGAAGGGAAACUUAAAAUCUAUAAUCAGAGGAGCACUGUGCAUCUAGUACACUUUAGAGGUAAGACCAAUAUGAACUGGUUCUGUUUAAAUUAUUGAUAUAUUUAAAAAAUGUAAUUUAUUUGUAAACAAUUUCAAAUAUAUAGAAGCUGUAAAAUCAUGAUAAAGAAAUCCCACAUCCAUUUUACUGAGAUUCCCCAGACAAUCCUCUCUCUCUCUCUCUCUCCCUCUCUCCCCUCUCCCUCCCUCCCUCCCCACUGGUGUCCCCCUCUCUCAUCUUUAAUCUUUAUUACUCUUUAGUCUGUUUUGAACCAUCAUGUACAAACCUCAGACAGGAUGCUCCAUCACCUCUGUAUACGUCAGUGUGCACCUUUCCAGAGCAAAGGCUACUUUCUCCUUAAGCAGAGCAUAACCCUUUCAAUCAAGAAAUCAGUACUGGCACAACACUGCGGUCCCACCCAAACCACAACCUGUUCAAAUUUUGCAACUCCUUCAACAAUGUCUCUUUUUCUUUUUUGUUUCAGGGUACAUUUCAAGAUCACACAUUGGAUGUAGUUGUCAUUUCACUUUGACAGCUUUUUUUUUUUAAAGACUUUCAAUUUUUUAAAAAAGACUGCCAAUUUGGGGCUUUUUGUUUGUUUGUUUGUUUUUUUGAGACAGGGUCUGGCUAGUUCAGACUGGCCUUGAACUCACUAUGUAGCCCAGGCUAGCCUCAAACUCACAGCAAUCCUCCUGCUUCAGCUUCCUGGGUGCUGGAAUGACAGGCAUGUACUACCCUAUCUGGCUUAUUUUGAUAUCUUUGACAUCUUUAGUAACUACUGGCCUUCGCUGUAAGGUAGUCCUUCAUGUGCCUCUGUCAGAUGUCUUCUCAUGAACACAUUCAGAUGAUUCAUUCCUUGCUAAAGGACAAAAAAAUUCUGCUGUGAUUUUCUUAAUGCUUCACAUCAUAGAGGAACUUAUUGUCAUCCCAUCUUAACAAAAGUGAUAACAACCACGGCUUCCAGAACAAAGUACCACAGAUUGGAGGCUUAAAUAACAAAAAUUUAUAUCUCGCAAUUCUGGGGGCUAGAAGUCCAUAAUGAAGGUGCCAGUGGAUUGGUUUAUUGUGAGGCCUCUCUCUUUGGCCUGCAGAUGGCCAUCUUAUCCUUGUGUAUUCAUGCAGCCUUCCCUCUGUGCAUGUCUGUGUCCAUGUUCCCUCUUCUGAGCACAGUAGUCCUGUUGGAGUAGGACCCACCUUAAUGACCUUAUUUUAGCAUGAACAUUUCCUUAAAGAACUUAUGGGCUGGUGCAGCUUGGUGAUGGAGCACCUGCUUGCAUGUGCAAAGCCCUUGUUUCAAUUCCUAGCACUGAAAAAAAGAGAGAAAAUCAACAGACCCUCUCUCCAAAUCAACCACAUUCUAAGGUAUGGGGUGUUAGAACUUCAACUUAUAAAUUCUAGGGGGACAAUUCAGCCCACAGCAAUAGCCUUUAUCACCUCGUCAAGGUGGGGGAAGUUUCUCCACUGUAUUGUCACCAUUUUUCCUCGGUAACUGAUAUUUUAUGGAGAAGUGUACUCAGACUAGAUCAGUAUGCUGUAUCCUGUAUCAGACCCCCAUCCACAAGCUUUACCAUCCGCUGAUUAUUCUUAUUUGAGUCAGCUGUCAUUAUAAUAACCUGAAAUGAUUUUUUCUUUUUCCAUUAUGCCCUCUAUAAUUGGCAUUCUACUACAAAGACAAGCUUUCCUUUCUCACUUAUUUUUUAUUUAGAUCAGUAUACAAUUAUAGCUUUGGUUUUUUAUUCAGGGGGCUAUAAUUCGUUUCUAUCUUUUUUUCCCUCAAAUUGACCUUGAUUUGACCAAUGAAGUCCUUCCCUGUGUCUUUUUUUUUAAUUACAUGAUUUCAUUAUUUCUUAUUUUUUCUUUUUUUAAAUUUUAUUUAAUUUUUUAUUUUGAGGUAAGUUCUCACUAAACUGCUAAGUUGUCCAGGCUGGACUCAAACUUGAGAACUUCUUGCCUCAGCCUCUGAGGAUGCUGGAAUUGCAGGCAUGUGCUACCAUGCCCAGUUGGUUCCAUUAUUUCUUGACCAUUUCCUCACUUAUGCAACAAAGUGUUCCAAGUUCACCAUGUGUGUUUUUCGUCCUACUCCUGGAAUCAGCCAGUUCUCUAAGGAGUCCUAGUUCCUUUUAGUGAAAACGAAUGUUUGGAAACCAGUAUACUCAUUGUCAUUGGAGUGUGACAUAGGCAUUGCCGCUGAGCUCUCUCAUGAAGAGAAACAGAAGACACCCAUAUACAUGUACACUAUGUAACUAUUUCUAUUUUUAUGUAAACCCAAAGUUUAUGUUGACAUCUUUCAACUUAUCAUCUUAGAGGUCAUCUCCUCCCUUCCUUAAUUGUAAUCUCUUCCACAGGAAAAAACAAAAUAACAAAAUAAAAACAAACAAGAAAAAUCACUUUCACAAUUCUUAAUGUAGUUAUUUGCUUAUUCCAAAAUCCCUACUAUCCUACUUCAGUCUCUAUUCAUGGCCCCUACUCUCUUAUUUGACUUUAAAUCUAUACAUGGUCUAUCAUUUCAUAUACUCAUUGAGAAGGAAUAAACUUGUCCAGAUAAAUCAUAAGAUAUUCACCAGUUUAAAACAAUUAACAUUCAACCUCCUGGAAAUAUACAUUUUAACUACAAAAUAAGUUAUGAGCAUGCUUUUAUAAAACACUGAAUUAAUUUUUUGGUUUUUUCCCCUUUUCUUUAGUAGAAUGUUUGCAAUUUACUAUAAUAAAUAUACUCAUCACUCAGAAUUGGUACAUAUGCAUAUUACAUCUUGAUCCUUUUCAUUUCCCCUUCCCUAUCCUUCCCUUCCAUCUUACCCCAGCCUCAUAUCCUUUUCCCAUCUCCAUUAUAGUCUACCACUACUUCCUAUCUAAUUUUUGUUCUAUAACAUACUGAUUGAAAAACUUGGAGUUUGUUUACUGAAGUAAAUGAACUCACCAGAGUUGUGUUCCCUGAUUUAUAUGACCGUGUAGUCCCAAAAACUCCUGGCUUUGAGAAAUUUUGCUUCUCUUUCAGCCUGCUCAAGACACUGUAGUUUUAGCAGAUCCAAAUCUAAACACACCAGCAAAACUGGUCGAUCUGAUGCACUUAUCACGUACUUUCACAACAAUUAAAUAAUAUUAUUGCUAUUUAGCCCACUAAACCUUUAGAAUAGGUCUGUGGGUUGGUCAAGCCAUGGUACUGGGGUCUCCACUUUAUGGAGGAGAAAAACAACACUCCGUGAGAUUUGGAGACUGCAGUCCAGAUUCUUAUAACUCAGAGUUCACUAGUCCAAUUGGAACUACAUCCCUUCCAAAUCCAACACAAUUUUCAUCUUUCUAAGAAAAAGAAAGUAAGGUAAGAGACUGUCAUUAUAUAACCAAAAAUCAUGUCUUUGCUAAUCCAUGAAAAUAUUUCAGUUUAAAAAUCUUUUUCCCUAGAAAAGACAAACUAUGGGAGAAUCUUUCCAAGACUGUGGACAGCACCAUUCAAUUCCUGUAUUACAUCUGGUGAAUGAAACAAUAGUAAUUCUGUUGCCAAAUACAUUGUAUGGUAAUCUUUCAACAUUCUCCUCCCCAUAAAGCUCUAUGGUCCCCUUCCCCCAGGAGCCCAUACAGGACAAAAUUGCUGCCUCACACCUUUGCACAGUGUGGCUCAGUUUCUAAAUACGGCAGACUACAAUAACAGACUAUGUGUCUGCUCCUCUGCUUAAACUGAACUCAGCUAAUCCAGUCCACAUAGAUAAAAAUCUCUCCUACUCUGAAAAUGAACUAGAGAAUACACUCUAGUACAUCAAAUUGAUUAAGGCUAUUUGUAAGAGAAGUGAUUCCUUUGUUUUGGUUCCAGUUGCGUAUUUUAAACUAUACACGUGCUGUCUUAUGUCUGUCCACAGUAGUUAUUAAUAGCUAACUUUUCCUGAGCACUGUUCUAAUAGAACAUAGAAAAGGCGUAAAAUGGGGUUCUUUCUCAGAUUUGGCUGAAGCAACAAGACGAGAUUUUAAACACCAAGUUGAGUUGUUGAACAGAUCACCCCAAAGAUUGAUUGAUUGAUUGAUUGAUUGAUUUAAAAUAAGAUUUAGUUGAAAAGUAGUUGCACAAUCUUUAACUUCUUUGGCCAGGUCAAAUGCAGUAAUACUUUGCUUAACAAUGAAGCUGUGUUCUGAGAAAUUCAUUGUUAAAUGACUUCAUUCUUGUGUAAAUAUCAUGGCAUAUUCUCAGUCUCACCCAGGUGAUACAGGUUACUAAUGCCAUGUGCCCCUGAUGUGAUCAAGAGAGAUGACAAACACAAGAUGGAAGGAACUGCUAUUUUUAGUAACUGGAAAGAAUACAUUCUAAAGUAAUGGUACAGUAUAAUAAAUGUGUAACCUGUAACAGAGUCAUUUAUCAUUAGCAAGCAUUAUGGACUGGCCUUAAUUGUAGAUGCAACACUCUUAUGUGACUGGCAUUAUUGUUGGUGUGUUUAUAUCACAGACACAUGAAUAAUACUUUCCAUCAGAAUAACACAUUGCAGUAGGGCAUCCCUAGGCAAUAGCUUUGACGGAAAUGUUGUUAUGUGGCUUAUGACUAUAAAAGAAUGGAAACUGAGAGAAUAUUUUUGAAGAAAUUACUAUUUGUAAAGAGGCAUUGUAAAGAUCCUUUUCCUCCUGGGCCCGCAGAAUACAAAGACAUGCUUCCUUCUUCAACUCAAGUCAGGAAAGGUGUCCCUGGAACCGUCCUGGGCUUCAUAGUGUCCUCUGCCAUGGUAUUGCACCAGAGAGCAAGAGUGAAGGGUGGAUCAGAGAGGUCAUCAUGGGGUGAAAAGAGUCACUGCCGCUGUAAGAUCAACCUGCACUCCCAGAGUCUGUUGGGACAAAGAGGCCACCCACACGCUGACCAUGAGGAUGAGGAUGCUGGCUUGGAAACUUCUAAAAACCUUGGCCAAGGGGUUACCUGGAACAACAGUGGGCCUGCAAAAGAGAAUCCAUGACAACGGGAUGUGCAGGUGUGCACAUGCGUUCACACUGGGCUUCAAGGAAAAUGGAAAGAGGAGAGGAAAUGAAUCCAGGGGAUGUUGACAAAGGUGUUCGAUGCCCAAGGAAAGAAGGAGGUCUUACCCAGAGGUCAGAAGCUGCUACAGUCCCUGGGCUGGAGCUGCUGAGAAUUUGGAGAUGCUGCCUCAGGAUCACUUCGGGAGCUUUGAAUACUGUUCAGCUCCUUGUAUGCCGUCACUGGUGUUGCCAUUGAUGGUGCUUGGAGGAGAAAAGAGUCCUCACUUCCCACCUAUUGAUCUUCCCUUGAAGAGAGGGAAUGUGGGAAAUGACACAAAGGAAAGGUGAGAGGUGAGGGGAAUGGGGCAGAUAAUCAAUAGACCCUGUCUGCUAUGAAGACAAACAGAGAUUCAGUGACUACUUGGGUUAGGGAUAUUCAAGACUAGACGACACAUGUGAUAUUCAGAGUUCACAAGACCCCUUUCACUUCUGAUACCAGCUGUUCAAAAAUUCAAGGGUCCUCAAGACCAUAAACAGUUUUGAUAAUUUUCCAGGAGGACUGAAAGAGCUCACUGAAAGCUGACAUAUUCACAAUGGUGGUUUAUUACAGCUAAAGAGCACAGACUUAAAUCAGCCAAAAGAAGAAGCACAUGGGACCAAGUCCAGGAGAGCUCUAAGGGCAAAGCUUUCCCAACAAAGGCAUAAAUGGCACUAAC